Molecule: long non-coding RNA, 870 nt
Organism: Labeo rohita (rohu)
Lineage: Eukaryota; Metazoa; Chordata; Actinopteri; Cypriniformes; Cyprinidae
Exons: 4
Source: RefSeq, a predicted model, not a curated record
AUUGAUUGUUUGAGUUCAGUUAACAGACUUACCACGAAGAACGACGGAAAACGUUAGUUGUUUAGAAAAAUAAAAUAAAUAUUUCAAUUGCGUCCGAUUUAUAACCCUUAUUAUAGGAAAAUCUCAAGUAUUGUCUCUGACAAGUCCUCCAGAUAUGAAUAUGGAUCUUACAGCAGAGUGAGUGGAUUGCAAACCACUGAGGCAGACGAGUCUUUGAUAUCCACAGAGAUGAAGGAAAUGGCAGUUGCCUGUCAGCCUGAUCAAGGUUUUCUUAGGCUUUUGAUGAGGCACCUUUUAGCAGUCCGAGGCUCAGAGCCAUUUGCCUCUGGUCUCGUUAAACGCAGCCAUGAUGUGGGUCAAACACGUAUAUCUGAACAUGAAUUGUUCACAGCUGCUUCUUCACAGCCAUUACAUUUUGAGAUUUUUUUUUGUAAUGUCUACCGUUUUAGUGAUUCCAGUGAAAUCAGAGACCAAAUAGGGCCUUUUCAACAUAUUGUAAAAGCAUUUUUCACUUAAAGAUGAUCAAAUGUGAGGCACUUUGACAAACUGAUGAAAUUUCUUGCCUUUCAUCUCCCUAACAGGCUUGAGGUCUUUCUUUCUUGUGCUCUUGUUCUCUUUCCCGCUCUGUCUGUGUCAUUAAUUAUUAAAUAUCAGCGAAAGCCUAAUUACAUCUGAACAGUGUGACGCCAUUAAGUAAAUUGUCUGAAAAAUUGGUACAGCGCAGAGCUUUCUCACUCAGUGGCUGCUAUCUGAAAGACGUCCAUCAUCUUUCUGAAGAUACGGUAUCAUUCUUAAUGGACCGUUUUCUAUCUCACUGACACUUAGUCGCCAUUUCUGAAAUUGGAAAAUGUGAAAUGUUUCAAAUGUGAA